Non-coding RNA from Acanthosepion pharaonis, 106 nucleotides. The record is from the annotation of a GenBank genome assembly. Lineage: Eukaryota; Metazoa; Mollusca; Cephalopoda; Sepiida; Sepiidae.
UUACGGUCACAUCACGUUGAAAUACCGGUUCCCGUACGAUUACAGAAGUUAAGCAACCUCGAGCCUGGUCGGUACUUGGGUGACCGCUUGAGAAAACCAGGUCUUG